This 494-nucleotide ribosomal RNA is filed under the name uncultured bacterium. Its description in RNAcentral is "bacterial SSU rRNA". It matches the Rfam family "Bacterial small subunit ribosomal RNA", at positions 28 to 519 of the family's 1533-position model. The record is from RNAcentral.
GAUGAACGCUGGCGGCGUGCCUAAUACAUGCAAGUCGAACGGGAUCCUGGCUUCGGCCGGGUGAGAGUGGCGGACGGGUGAGUAACGCGUAGGAAUCUGCCCACGGGUGGGGACAACAUGGGGAAACUCAUGCUAAUACCGCAUACGCCCUGAGGGGGAAAGCGGGGGACCUUCGGGCCUCGCGCCGGUGGAUGAGCCUACGUCGGAUUAGCUAGUUGGUGGGGUAAGGGCCCACCAAGGCGACGAUCCGUAGCUGGUCUGAGAGGAUGAUCAGCCACACUGGGACUGAGACACGGCCCAGACUCCUACGGGAGGCAGCAGUGGGGAAUAUUGGACAAUGGGCGCAAGCCUGAUCCAGCAAUGCCGCGUGUGUGAAGAAGGCCUGCGGGUUGUAAAGCACUUUAAGCAGGGAGGACGGGUUGCGGGGUUAAUACCCUUGUGACUUGACGUUACCUGCAGAAUAAGCACCGGCUAACUUCGUGCCAGCAGCCGCG